CCUGCUCAACUUAGAUCUUUCAUGAGAGUAAUACAAAAAUAAGAUAAUUAAGAAAGUAGGAUUUUGAAUCAUCUUUUCUUUCAUUACAGAUAGGUAAAAAUGCUGGAUAGGUCCUUUGUUUAUGCUAGUGAGGUCACAUUAUCCAAAUCCAAGAAUGAUUCCACAUUUAAUUGAAACAAGGAUUAGGAGGAAUGUGGGAUAAGUUUCCUGUUAG
RNAcentral lists this long non-coding RNA (214 nucleotides) under Elaeis guineensis (African oil palm). RNAcentral describes it as "long non-coding RNA (EGUI_LNC039942)". Lineage: Eukaryota; Viridiplantae; Streptophyta; Magnoliopsida; Arecales; Arecaceae. The record is from RNAcentral.